Small nuclear RNA from Mus pahari (shrew mouse), 106 nucleotides. NCBI's taxonomy places the organism in Eukaryota, Metazoa, Chordata, Mammalia, Rodentia, Muridae. The record is from RefSeq and is a predicted model, not a curated record.
GUGUUUUUGCUUUGGCACCACAUAUACUAACACUGGAACACAGAGAAGAUUAGCAUGGCCUGUGCACAAGGAUGACAGACAAAUCUGGAAAGUGAUACAUAUUUCC